RNAcentral lists this non-coding RNA (220 nucleotides) under unclassified sequences. RNAcentral describes it as "RT-2 RNA". It matches the Rfam family "RT-2 RNA". Rfam says of the family: Coriobacteriales (Actinobacteria), Clostridiales (Firmicutes). Downstream gene The record is from Rfam by way of RNAcentral.
CACGGUCACAUGGAGUAGCCAAGUGCGAAAGACGACCGAUGUAAAAGGAGCUGCACUUCCCUGGGUGAGAAUCCCUAAAACUGCUCUCCGAUGUCCUUACACGGACGCUGCUUGCAUGGUGAGGAAUGUGCCUAACCUCAUUUCAUGUGUAAGGACAACGCACUUUAGACGGCACCCAACAAGACAUUUGUACGGAGGGCGAAUAUUUUGACAAGUCAGG